Molecule: ribosomal RNA, 253 nt
Filed under: uncultured bacterium
Lineage: Bacteria
Description: partial 16S ribosomal RNA
Rfam family: Bacterial small subunit ribosomal RNA
Source: RNAcentral
UACGUAGGGUGCGAGCGUUGUCCGGAAUUACUGGGCGUAAAGCGCACGUAGGCGGUCUUUUAAGUCGGGGGUGGAAUCCUGGAGCUCAACUCCAGAACUGCCUUCGAUACUGGAAGACUCGAGUCCGGGAGAGGUGAGUGGAACUGCGAGUGUAGAGGUGAAAUUCGUAGAUAUUAGGAAGAACACCAGUGGCGAAGGCGGCUCACUGGUCCGGUACUGACGCUGAGGUGCGAAAGCGUGGGGAGCAAACAGG